GGAGAAUUAGCUCAGCUGGGAGAGCAUCUGCCUUACAAGCAGAGGGUCGGCGGUUCGAACCCGUCACCUGUUCCCA
RNAcentral lists this transfer RNA (76 nucleotides) under Staphylococcus lugdunensis. RNAcentral's name for it is "tRNA-Val". It matches the Rfam family "tRNA". From Rfam's summary of the family: Transfer RNA (tRNA) molecules are approximately 80 nucleotides in length. Their secondary structure includes four short double-helical elements and three loops (D, anti-codon, and T loops). Further hydrogen bonds mediate the characteristic L-shaped molecular structure. tRNAs have two regions of fundamental functional importance: the anti-codon, which is responsible for specific mRNA codon recognition, and the 3' end, to which the tRNAs corresponding amino acid is attached (by aminoacyl-tRNA synthetases). tRNAs cope with the degeneracy of the genetic code in two manners: having more than one tRNA (with a specific anti-codon) for a particular amino acid; and 'wobble' base-pairing, i.e. permitting non-standard base-pairing at the 3rd anti-codon position. Lineage: Bacteria; Bacillati; Bacillota; Bacilli; Caryophanales; Staphylococcaceae. The record is from RNAcentral.